UGAGGAAUAUUGCGCAAUGGGGGCAACCCUGACGCAGCGACGCCGCGUGAGUGAGGAAGGCCUUCGGGUCGUAAAGCUCUGUCAGCAGGGAAGAAGUGCAUGGUGGCUAAUAUCCAUUGUGUUUGACGGUACCUGCAAAGGAAGCACCGGCUAACUCCGUGCCAGCAGCCGCGGUAAUACGGAGGGUGCGAGCGUUGUUCGGAAUCACUGGGCGUAAAGGGCGCGCAGGCGGUUUUAUAAGUCAGAUGUGAAAGCCCACGGCUUAACUGUGGAAGUGCAUUUGAAACUGUAAGACUUGAGUACCAGAGGGGAAGGUGGAAUUCCCGGUGUAGAGGUGAAAUUCGUAGAUAUCGGGAGGAAUACCGGUGGCGAAGGCGACCUUCUGGCUGGAUACUGACGC
Molecule: ribosomal RNA, 400 nt
Filed under: uncultured bacterium
Lineage: Bacteria
Description: bacterial SSU rRNA
Rfam family: Bacterial small subunit ribosomal RNA
Source: RNAcentral